GCUUGCUGCUUUGCUGACGAGUGGCGGACGGGUGAGUAAUGUCUGGGAAACUGCCUGAUGGAGGGGGAUAACUACUGGAAACGGUGGCUAAUACCGCAUAACGUCGCAAGACCAAAGAGGGGGACCUUCGGGCCUCUUGCCAUCAGAUGUGCCCAGAUGGGAUUAGCUUGUUGGUGAGGUAACGGCUCACCAAGGCGACGAUCCCUAGCUGGUCUGAGAGGAUGACCAGCCACACUGGAACUGAGACACGGUCCAGACUCCUACGGGAGGCAGCAGUGGGGAAUAUUGCACAAUGGGCGCAAGCCUGAUGCAGCCAUGCCGCGUGUAUGAAGAAGGCCUUCGGGUUGUAAAGUACUUUCAGCGGGGAGGAAGGUGUUGUGGUUAAUAACCGCAGCAAUUGACGUUACCCGCAGAAGAAGCACCGGCUAACUCCGUGCCAGCAGCCGCGGUAAUACGGAGGGUGCAAGCGUUAAUCGGAAUUACUGGGCGUAAAGCGCACGCAGGCGGUCUGUCAAGUCGGAUGUGAAAUCCCCGGGCUCAACCUGGGAACUGCAUUCGAAACUGGCAGGCUUGAGUCUUGUAGAGGGGGGUAGAAUUCCAGGUGUAGCGGUGAAAUGCGUAGAGAUCUGGAGGAAUACCGGUGGCGAAGGCGGCCCCCUGGACAAAGACUGACGCUCAGGUGCGAAAGCGUGGGGAGCAAACAGGAUUAGAUACCCUGGUAGUCCACGCCGUAAACGAUGUCUACUUGGAGGUUGUGCCCUUGAGGCGUGGCUUCCGGAGCUAACGCGUUAAGUAGACCGCCUGGGGAGUACGGCCGCAAGGUUAAAACUCAAAUGAAUUGACGGGGGCCCGCACAAGCGGUGGAGCAUGUGGUUUAAUUCGAUGCAACGCGAAGAACCUUACCUGGUCUUGACAUCCACAGAAGAAUCCAGAGAUGGAUUUGUGCCUUCGGGAACUGUGAGACAGGUGCUGCAUGGCUGUCGUCAGCUCGUGUUGUGAAAUGUUGGGUUAAGUCCCGCAACGAGCGCAACCCUUAUCCUUUGUUGCCAGCGGUUAGGCCGGGAACUCAAAGGAGACUGCCAGUGAUAAACUGGAGGAAGGUGGGGAUGACGUCAAGUCAUCAUGGCCCUUACGACCAGGGCUACACACGUGCUACAAUGGCGCAUACAAAGAGAAGCGACCUCGCGAGAGCAAGCGGACCUCAUAAAGUGCGUCGUAGUCCGGAUUGGAGUCUGCAACUCGACUCCAUGAAGUCGGAAUCGCUAGUAAUCGUGGAUCAGAAUGCCACGGUGAAUACGUUCCCGGGCCUUGUACACACCGCCCGUCACACCAUGGGAGUGGGUUGCAAAAGAAGUAGGUAGCUUAACCUUCGGGAGGGCGCUUACCACUUUGUGAUUCAUGACUGGGGUGAAGUCGUAACAAGGUAACCGUAGGGGAACCUGCGGUUGGAUCACCUCCUUACCUUAAAGAA
Molecule: ribosomal RNA, 1471 nt
Filed under: Salmonella enterica subsp. enterica serovar Enteritidis
Lineage: Bacteria; Pseudomonadati; Pseudomonadota; Gammaproteobacteria; Enterobacterales; Enterobacteriaceae
Description: bacterial SSU rRNA
Rfam family: Bacterial small subunit ribosomal RNA
Source: RNAcentral